UGAGGAACAUGACCUUCGGCGGGGGAUAGCCGGCCCAACGGCCGGGUAAUACCGCGUACGACCACUUUGGGACAUCCCUAGGUGGUGAAAGCAGCAAUGCGCCGAUGGAGUGCCCCGCGGCCUAUCAGCUAGUUGGUGAGGUAACGGCUCACCAAGGCAACGAUGCGUAGCUGACCUGAGAGGGUNAUCGGCCACAUUGGAACUGAGACACGGUCCAGACUCCGUACGGGAGCAG
Molecule: ribosomal RNA, 235 nt
Filed under: uncultured bacterium
Lineage: Bacteria
Description: partial 16S ribosomal RNA
Rfam family: Bacterial small subunit ribosomal RNA
Source: RNAcentral